Molecule: precursor RNA, 551 nt
Filed under: Nicotiana attenuata
Lineage: Eukaryota; Viridiplantae; Streptophyta; Magnoliopsida; Solanales; Solanaceae
Description: partial transfer RNA-Leu(UAA)
Rfam family: Group I catalytic intron (bases 1-436)
About the family: Group I catalytic introns are large self-splicing ribozymes. They catalyse their own excision from mRNA, tRNA and rRNA precursors in a wide range of organisms.
Source: RNAcentral
GAUCACUUUCAAAUUCAGAGAAACCCUGGAAUUAACAAAAAUGGGCAAUCCUGAGCCAAAUCCUGUUUUCCGAAAACAAACAAAGAUUCAGAAAAAAAGGAUAGGUGCAGAGACUCAAUGGAAGCUAUUCUAACAAAUGGAGUUAAAUGCGUUGGUAGAGGAAUCUUUACAUCGAAACUUCAGAAAGAAAAAGAAUGAAGUGAAGGAUAAACGUAUAUACAUACGUAUUGAAUACUAUAUCAAAUGAUUAAUGAUGACCUGAAUCCGUAUUUUUUCUAUAAAAAAUAGAAGAAUUGGUGUGAAUCGAUUCUACAUUGAAGAAAGAAUCGAAUAUUCAUUGAUCAAAUCAUUCACUCCAUAGUCUGAUAGAUCUUUUGAAGAACUGAUUAAUCGGACGAGAAUAAAGAUAGAGUCCCGUUCUACAUGUCAAUACCGGCAACAAUGAAAUUUAUAGUAAGAGGAAAAUCCGUCGACUUUAAAAAUCGUGAGGGUUCAAGUCCCUCUAUCCCCAAAAAGACUAUUUCACUCCCCAACUAUUUAUCCGACCCCCU